CGGGAGGCAGCAGUGGGGAAUCUUGCACAAUGGAGGAAACUCUGAUGCAGCGAUGCCGCGUGAGUGAAGAAGGCCUUUGGGUUGUAAAGCUCUUUCGUCGGGGAAGAAGAUGACUGUACCCGAAUAAGAAGGUCCGGCUAACUUCGUGCCAGCAGCCGCGGUAAUACGAAGGGACCUAGCGUAGUUCGGAAUUACUGGGCUUAAAGAGUUCGUAGGUGGUUGAAAAAGUUAGUGGUGAAAUCCCAGAGCUUAACUCUGGAACUGCCAUUAAAACUUUUCAGCUAGAGUAUGAUAGAGGAAAGCAGAAUUUCUAGUGUAGAGGUGAAAUUCGUAGAUAUUAGAAAGAAUACCAAUUGCGAAGGCAGCUUUCUGGAUCAUUACUGACACUGAGGAACGAAAGCAUGGGUAGCGAAGAGGAUUAGAUACCCUCGUAGUCCAUGCCGUAAACGAUGUGUGUUAGACGUUGGAAAUUUAUUUUCAGUGUCGCAGCGAAAGCGAUAAACACACCGCCUGGGGAGUACGACCGCAAGGUUAAAACUCAAAUGAAUUGACGG
RNAcentral lists this ribosomal RNA (554 nucleotides) under uncultured bacterium. RNAcentral describes it as "bacterial SSU rRNA". It matches the Rfam family "Bacterial small subunit ribosomal RNA", at positions 342 to 916 of the family's 1533-position model. The record is from RNAcentral.